CAGCCGCCGCGGUAAUACGGAGGGGGCUAGCGUUGUUCGGAAUUACUGGGCGUAAAGCGCACGUAGGCGGCUUGGUAAGUUAGAGGUGAAAGCCUGGAGCUCAACUCCAGAAUUGCCUUUAAGACUGCCGAGCUAGCAGGUGAGAGAGGUAAGUGGAAUUCCGAGUGUAGAAGUGAAAUUCGUAGAUAUUCGGAAGAACACCAGUGGCGAAGGCGGCUUACUGGCUCAUACUGGACGCUGAGGUGCGAAAGCGUGGGGAGCAAACAGGAUUAGAUACCCCCGUAGUCCCUGUCUCUUAUAC
RNAcentral lists this ribosomal RNA (301 nucleotides) under uncultured bacterium. RNAcentral describes it as "partial 16S ribosomal RNA". It matches the Rfam family "Bacterial small subunit ribosomal RNA", at positions 509 to 807 of the family's 1533-position model. The record is from RNAcentral.